This is a long non-coding RNA of Chelmon rostratus (copperband butterflyfish), 167 nucleotides long. RefSeq lists it as uncharacterized. Lineage: Eukaryota; Metazoa; Chordata; Actinopteri; Chaetodontiformes; Chaetodontidae. The record is from RefSeq and is a predicted model, not a curated record. The transcript is spliced from 3 exons.
GGCAUCAGGUCUUUUAUUCUGUGUGAUCCUCUGUUUGACCAGUGGACUGUGGACUGGAGCAAAUGCUCAAGGUCCAGAAGAAGGUGGAUGCCCUUCUCCAUGGAGACAGUUUCGUGACAGGUGCUACGUGGUCAGGUUAAGUGAAUUGGCAUGGGAUGAUGCACAGG